AGAGUUUGAUCCUGGCUCAGAGCGAACGCUGGCGGCGUACUUAACACAUGCAAGUCGAACGAGGAUCAUCCGCGUAGCAAUACAUUAGUGGUCCUAGUAGCGCACGGAUGAGUAACACGUGGGUGACCUGCCCUAGAGCUCGGGAUACCCCCUCGAAAGGGGGGCUAAUACCGGAUACGUUCCUUGGUCGAAAGAUCGAAAAGGAAAGGUGGCGCAAGCUGCCGCUCUUGGAAGAGCUCGCGGCCUAUCAGCUAGUUGGCAGGGUAACGGCCCACCAAGGCUAUAACGGGUAGCUGGUCUGAGAGGACGACCAGCCACACGGGGACUGAGACACGGCCCCGACUCCUACGGGAGGCAGCAGUGGGGAAUUUUCCGCAAUGGGCGAAAGCCUGACGGAGUGACGCCGCGUGUGGGACGAAAGCCUUCAGGUCGUAAACCACUGUCAGUGGGAAAGAUGGAUAUCGGGGCUAAUACCUCCGGCAUCUGACGGUACCUGCAGAGGAAGCCCCGGCCAACUCUGUGCCAGCAGCCGCGGUAAUAC
This 541-nucleotide ribosomal RNA is filed under the name uncultured bacterium. Its description in RNAcentral is "bacterial SSU rRNA". It matches the Rfam family "Bacterial small subunit ribosomal RNA", at positions 8 to 526 of the family's 1533-position model. The record is from RNAcentral.